CAAGAGCAAGCAGAACCUCUCUGACCGCUCGCGCCAGGCCUACACUUUCCACCUCAUGGAGGCCUCUGGCACCACCUGGAGCCCGGAGAACUGAGCAGUAGAGAACUGUGGACUAUUCUGCUUGGAAGGUCAGCUCUGAGAGAGCUGGUCAGAUUGAGGCAGAACUGAAUAAACAUUGGCGGCGAUUGUUAGAGGGGCUUUCUUACUACAAACCUCCCAGCCAAGUUCAGCUGAAAAAGUGAAAGCUAAUAAAGAUGUAGCUUCACCAUUGAAGGAACUGGGUUUAAGAAUCAGCAAGUUUUUGGUCUUGAUGAAGAACAGAGUGUGCAGUUACUCCAGUGUUACCUGCAAGAGGACUACAGGGGUACUCGGG
This 373-nucleotide long non-coding RNA is filed under the name Homo sapiens (human). RNAcentral's name for it is "HSALNT0155816". The record is from RNAcentral. Lineage: Eukaryota; Metazoa; Chordata; Mammalia; Primates; Hominidae.